CAGAGCUGAGGGCUCCUGGCUAUUCCUCACAGACAUUUCUCGGAAAGAAGGAUGGAUGAGCUAGAGAAAGAUUUCAUUCUCUUGAAUGAGGAAACUGAAGCACAAAGGCUGUUUUUGAGAUUUUUACUGGUUGAUGCCUCACCUGUGCUGCACAAGCCCCCAUAAGCCUUGGAUUUGUCCUUAAGGAAGAUUCCUCUAACAAGAGAUAAGCAACAAAAAUAGUCAUACGCAAUGACACAGAAUCUAACAAUAAUCAUCAACUAAAGAGCACUCUUGUCACAGUCAAACUCUGAGCAGAAAGACAAAAGACAAGAAGAAAUCUUAAUAAUCAACAAGUAUUCAUCUUUUAGCAACCAUCAUUUAUUCAACAGAAGUUUACUGAGCACCAAUCCUGUGCCAGACAAGAUGCAAGACUCUAAAAGUUCCGAAGUGAACAGGAAAAAUCCUGAUCUCACCCUUAGGGAAUAGUCAAGAGUCCUGGCCUCAGCCUGAUUUCUAUAUUUCUUCUAGUUUCAUCUUUUAUCUCAGUUAUAGGUCUGUACCAAGAGAAAAAUUGCCUAGUAAUGUGGUUUCUUUACAAGUAAUAAUAAUAAUAAUAGCUAAUACCUUUAUAGUGCUUACUAUGUGCCAAAAAGUAUUCUAUGCAUUUUCAUACAUUAACUGAUUUAAUCUUGAACAAUCUUUUGAGGUACCAUUAUGAUUCCUCUUUUUUACAAAUGAGGAAACUGAGGCAGAGAGAGGUUAAGUAAUUUACACAGAUUCAAACUAUUCACUACACUGUUCUUACUAGGGCAGAACACUGUAGAGAGUUGUUAUUUUUUAGCAACAAGGAUUAAAGAAAAUGUGAUG
This is a long non-coding RNA of Balaenoptera acutorostrata (minke whale), 849 nucleotides long. RefSeq lists it as uncharacterized. The record is from RefSeq and is a predicted model, not a curated record. Lineage: Eukaryota; Metazoa; Chordata; Mammalia; Artiodactyla; Balaenopteridae. The transcript is spliced from 3 exons.